UGAAGUUCUGUAAACAAGUGGCAAAUUGAUUUUUAAAUUAUACUAGAAACAAAACUAUACGCGUCUGUUGUAUUUUUUAAAAAUGUUUUGAAAAUGUUGACAUGCUCAAAAUUAAAUUUUGAAAACUGAUAAUGGAAGCCAAACUAGAAGGAGUGUUUGAUGAGUGGGAAUCCCUUAAUAAAGAAUAUGACGAAUAUCAGGUGAAU
Molecule: long non-coding RNA, 206 nt
Organism: Centruroides sculpturatus (bark scorpion)
Lineage: Eukaryota; Metazoa; Arthropoda; Arachnida; Scorpiones; Buthidae
Exons: 2
Source: RefSeq, a predicted model, not a curated record